ACACGACUACAUUAGAUACCCGUGUAGUCCUAGCCGUAAACGAUACUCGCUAGGUGUCGGCCACGGUGCGACUGUUGUCGGUGCCGUAGGGAAGCCGUGAAGCGAGCCACCUGGGAAGUACGGCCGCAAGGCUGAAACUUAAAGGAAUUGGCGGGGGAGCACAACAACGGGUGGAGCUUGCGGUUUAAUUGGAUUCAACGCCGGAAAUCUUACCGGGACCGACAGCAACAUGAAGGCCAGGCUGAAGACUUUGCCGGAUUAGCUG
This 265-nucleotide ribosomal RNA is filed under the name uncultured archaeon. RNAcentral's name for it is "partial 16S ribosomal RNA". It matches the Rfam family "Archaeal small subunit ribosomal RNA", at positions 719 to 982 of the family's 1478-position model. The record is from RNAcentral.